UCCGAGAUAGUUUAACGGUUAGAAUUGGCGUUUGUCGCAUGCCAGAUCGGGGUUCGAUUCCCCGUCUCGGAG
RNAcentral lists this transfer RNA (72 nucleotides) under Saccharomycodes ludwigii. It matches the Rfam family "tRNA". From Rfam's summary of the family: Transfer RNA (tRNA) molecules are approximately 80 nucleotides in length. Their secondary structure includes four short double-helical elements and three loops (D, anti-codon, and T loops). Lineage: Eukaryota; Fungi; Ascomycota; Saccharomycetes; Saccharomycodales; Saccharomycodaceae. The record is from Rfam by way of RNAcentral.